RNAcentral lists this ribosomal RNA (405 nucleotides) under Triticum aestivum (bread wheat). RNAcentral describes it as "partial small subunit ribosomal RNA". Lineage: Eukaryota; Viridiplantae; Streptophyta; Magnoliopsida; Poales; Poaceae. The record is from RNAcentral.
AUGUCGCACACUCGUAUGCUCUACUUCCAAGCCCACCAUCCCCAUGCCAACUUUCAGGACAACCAUGCCAGUGUUACGAAGAAAGAAGCAGCAGUAGGAGCGAACCAUGUCCAAGCGCCCAAAAAACAAGUCAGGUUUCAGGACAACCAUGCCAAUCCUAUCAAGAAAGAUGAUGUGAAUACAGAUGUGGAUUCGGUGGCUUCAGACUUCAUCAAGCCUCAAAAGGUUGUGAUCACCACGAAAAGAAUAAGGUACAGCAUGAAACUUAGGUUGUAUUUCAAAUGGAAUGGCAUUUGCAAAGACACAGAAAGUACAGGGGAAAAGGGAGAGAGGAGAAAGGACAGAAAAGUACUGGAGGUGGAUAAGGCACUCCAGAAGAGCACAACCAUGUAUCCAUCUUCUUAA